Molecule: ribosomal RNA, 404 nt
Filed under: uncultured bacterium
Lineage: Bacteria
Description: bacterial SSU rRNA
Rfam family: Bacterial small subunit ribosomal RNA
Source: RNAcentral
UGGGGAAUCUUGCACAAUGGGCGAAAGCCUGAUGCAGCCAUGCCGCGUGAAUGAUGGAGGCCUUAGGGUUGUAAAAUUCUUUCGCCAGGGAUGAUAAUGACAGUACCUGGUAAAGAAGCCCCGGCUAACUUCGUGCCAGCAGCCGCGGUAAUACGAAGGGGGCUAGCGUUGUUCGGAAUUACUGGGCGUAAAGCGCACGUAGGCGGACUUUUAAGUCAGAUGUGAAAUCCCGGGGCUCAACCUCGGAACUGCAUUUGAUACUGUCGAUCUGGAGUCCGGGAGAGGUGCAUGGAAUUCCGAGUGUAGAGGUGAAAUUCGUAGAUAUUCGGAGGAACACCAGUGGCGAAGGCGGCUCACUGGCUCGAUACUGACGCUGAGGUGCGAAAGUGUGGGGAGCAAACAGG